AUUGAACGCUGGCGGCAUGCCUUACACAUGCAAGUCGAACGGUAACAGGUCUUCGGAUGCUGACGAGUGGCGAACGGGUGAGUAAUACAUCGGAACGUGCCUAGUAGUGGGGGAUAACUACUCGAAAGAGUGGCUAAUACCGCAUGAGAUCUACGGAUGAAAGCAGGGGAUCGCAAGACCUUGUGCUACUAGAGCGGCUGAUGGCAGAUUAGGUAGUUGGUGGGAUAAAAGCUUACCAAGCCGACGAUCUGUAGCUGGUCUGAGAGGACGAUCAGCCACACUGGGACUGAGACACGGCCCAGACUCCUACGGGAGGCAGCAGUGGGGAAUUUUGGACAAUGGGCGAAAGCCUGAUCCAGCAAUGCCGCGUGCAGGAUGAAGGCCUUCGGUUGUAAACUGCUUUUGUACGGUAACGAAAGACUUCGGGUUAAGUACCCUCGGAGCCAUGACGGUACCGUAACGAAUAAGACAACCGGCGUAACUACGUAGCC
This 491-nucleotide ribosomal RNA is filed under the name uncultured bacterium. RNAcentral describes it as "bacterial SSU rRNA". It matches the Rfam family "Bacterial small subunit ribosomal RNA", at positions 30 to 510 of the family's 1533-position model. The record is from RNAcentral.